RNAcentral lists this transfer RNA (73 nucleotides) under Felis catus (domestic cat). It matches the Rfam family "tRNA". Rfam says of the family: Transfer RNA (tRNA) molecules are approximately 80 nucleotides in length. Their secondary structure includes four short double-helical elements and three loops (D, anti-codon, and T loops). Lineage: Eukaryota; Metazoa; Chordata; Mammalia; Carnivora; Felidae. The record is from Rfam by way of RNAcentral.
GCCUGGCUGGCUCAGUCAAUAGAGCAUGUGACUCUCGAUCUCAGGGUCAUGGGUUCGAGGCCCACACUGGGCA